This 1463-nucleotide ribosomal RNA is filed under the name uncultured Acinetobacter sp. Its description in RNAcentral is "bacterial SSU rRNA". It matches the Rfam family "Bacterial small subunit ribosomal RNA". The record is from RNAcentral. Lineage: Bacteria; Pseudomonadati; Pseudomonadota; Gammaproteobacteria; Moraxellales; Moraxellaceae.
GCCGCUCAGAUUGAACGCUGGCGGCAGGCUUAACACAUGCACGUAAAGAGUCGAGCGGGGAAAGGUAGCGUUGCUACUGGACCUAGCGGCGGACGGGUGAGUAAUGCUUAGGAAUCUGCCUAUUAGUGGGGGACAACAUUCCGAAAGGAAUUAGAUAAUGCUAAUACCGCAUACGGAGAAAGCAGGGGACCUUCGGGCCUUGCGCUAAUAGGCUAUAGGAUGAGCCUAAGUCGGAUUAGCUAGUUGGUGGGGUAAAGGCCUACCAAGGCGACGAUCUGUAGAGAGGAUGAUCCGCCACACUGGGACUGAGACACGGCCCUAGCGACCAGACUCCUACGGGAGGCAGCAGUUUGGACAAUGGGGGGAACCCUGAUCCAGCCAUGCCGCGUGUGUGAAGAAGGCCUUAUGGUUGUAAAGCACUUUAAGCGAGGAGGAGGCUACUAGUAUUAAUACUACUGGAUAGUGGACGUUACUCGCAGAAUAAGCACCGGCUAACUCUGUGCCAGCAGCCAUUUCGGAGCGGUAAUACAGAGGGUGCGAGCGUUAAUCGGAUUUACUGGCGUGCGUAGGCGGCCAUUUAAGUCAAAUGUGAAAUCCCCGAGCUUAACUUGGGAAUUGCAUUCGAUACUGGAUGGCUAGAGUAUGGGAGAGGAUGGUAGAAUUCCAGGUGUAGCGGUGAAAUGCGUAGAGAUCUGGAGGAAUACCGAUGGCGAAGGCAGCCAUCUGCUGACGCUGAGGUACGAAAGCAUGGGGAGCAAACAGUUACCACGGCCCUGGUAACGAUGUCUACUAGCCCGUUGGGGCCUUUGAGGCUUUAGUGGGGAAUAUCCUGCCAGCUUGGGCGCAGCUAACGCGAUAAGUUAGACCGCCUGGGGAGUACGGUCCGCAAGACUAAAAACUCAAAUGAAUUGACGGGGGCCCGCACAAGCGGUGGAGCAUGUGGUUUAAUUCGAUGCAACGCGAAGAACCUUACCUGGCCUUGACAUACUAGAAACUUUCCAGAGAUGGAUUGGUGCCUUCGGGAUCUAGAUACAGGUGCUGCAUGGCUGUCGUCAGCUCGUGUCGUGAGAUGUUGGGUUAAGUCCCGCAACGAGCGCAACCCUUGUCCUACGUUCCUUACUGGGAACUUUAAGGAUACUGCCAGUGACAAACUGGAGGAAGGCGGGGACGACGUCAAGUCAUUACCAGAACAUGGCCCUUACGGCCAGGGCUACACACGUGCUACAAUGGUCCGGGGGUACAAAGGGUUUAAUAGUUUGAGAUGCUAAUCUCAAAAAGCCGAUCGUAGUCCGGAUUGGAGUCUGCAACUCGACUCCAUGAAGUCGGAAUCGCUAGUAAUCGCGGAUCAGAAUGCCGCGGUGAAUACGUUCCCGGGCCUUGUACACACCGCCCGUCACACCAUGGGAGUUUUGUUGCAGUAGGUAGUCUAACCGCAAGGAGGACGCUAGUCCAUGCCGUAGUCU